RNAcentral lists this transfer RNA (68 nucleotides) under Marmota monax (woodchuck). Its description in RNAcentral is "tRNA.Leu". Lineage: Eukaryota; Metazoa; Chordata; Mammalia; Rodentia; Sciuridae. The record is from RNAcentral.
GGAUAUCCCUCAGUUGGUAAAAUGUUUGCCUCAGAUGCACAAGGCCCUGGGUUCAAUCCCCAGUACCA